UUUUUAAUUUAUUGGGGGAGGGUGGGUUAACACGUGGAGCAACCCCCUUUUUUAGAGGGGGUUACAUUUGUAACCAGUUGUUAUUCCCGCUAAGAAUUCCAGUUCCGGCGGGAUUCAGUGAUCAAAGGGCAAUUUCGUGAAAGAUGGGCUCGCCUCCGAUUAGAUAGUUGGUGAGGUUAACGGCUCACCAAGUCGACGAUCGGUUGCCGGAUGGAGAGGUUGAACGGCCACAUUGGGAUUGAGACACGGCCCAGACUCCUACGGGAGGCAGCAGUGGGGAAUAUUGCACAAUGGGCGAAAGCCUGAUGCAGCAACGCCGCGUGAGGGAAGACGGUUUUUGGAUUGUAAACCUCUGUUUUCGGUGACGAACAAAUGACGGUAACCGAGUAGGAAGCCACGGCUAACUACGUGCCAGCAGCCGCGGUAAUACGUAGGUGGCAAGCGUUAUCCGGAAUUACUGGGUGUAAAGGGAGCGCAGGCGGGAUAGCAAGUCAGCUGUGAAAAAUAUGGGCUCAACCCAUAAACUGCAGUUGAAACUGUUAUUCUUGAGUGGAGUAGAGGCAAGCGGAAUUCCGAGUGUAGCGGUGAAAUGCGUAGAUAUUCGGAGGAACACCAGUGGCGAAGGCGGCUUGCUGUGCUCUAACUGACGCUGAGGCUGGAAAGUGUGGGGAGCAACCAGGAUUAGAUCCCUUGUUAUUCCACACUGUAAACGAUGAUUGAAAGGGGUGGGGGGUCUGACCCCCUCCGUGCCGGAGCUAACG
Molecule: ribosomal RNA, 761 nt
Filed under: uncultured bacterium
Lineage: Bacteria
Description: bacterial SSU rRNA
Rfam family: Bacterial small subunit ribosomal RNA
Source: RNAcentral